This 494-nucleotide ribosomal RNA is filed under the name uncultured bacterium. RNAcentral's name for it is "partial 16S ribosomal RNA". It matches the Rfam family "Bacterial small subunit ribosomal RNA", at positions 28 to 507 of the family's 1533-position model. The record is from RNAcentral.
GACGAACGCUGGCGGCGUGCUUAACACAUGCAAGUCGAACGGUGAAGCGCCUUCCUUUUUGGUGGGUGUGGAUGAGUGGCGAACGGGUGAGUAACACGUGAGUAACCUGCCCCCUUCUUCUGGAUAACCGCAUGAAAGUGUGGCUAAUACGGGAUAUUCUGGGUCUGUCGCAUGAUGGGUCUGGGAAAGAUAUUGUUUCGGUGGGGGAUGGGCUCGCGGCCUAUCAGCUUGUUGGUGGGGUGAUGGCCUACCAAGGCGGUGACGGGUAGCCGGCCUGAGAGGGUGGACGGUCACACUAGGACUGAGACACGGCCCAGACUCCUACGGGAGGCAGCAGUGGGGAAUAGUGCACAAUGGGAGCAAGCCUGAUGCAGCGACGCCGCGUGAGGGAUGGAGGCCUUCGGGUUGUGAACCUCUUUCGCCAGUGAAGCAGGCCUGCCUCGUUUGUGGGUGGGUUGACGGUAGCUGGAUAAGAAGCGCCGGCUAACUACGUG